This 367-nucleotide ribosomal RNA is filed under the name uncultured archaeon. Its description in RNAcentral is "bacterial SSU rRNA". It matches the Rfam family "Archaeal small subunit ribosomal RNA", at positions 451 to 818 of the family's 1478-position model. The record is from RNAcentral.
ACUGGUGUCAGCCGCCGCGGUAAUACCAGCUCUCCGAGUGGUAGGGAUGAUUAUUGGGCUUAAAGCGUCCGUAGCCGGCUUAGCAAGUCUCCUGUUAAAUUCAGCGACCUAAUCGUUGAGCCGCGGGAGACACUACUAGGCUAGGAGGCGGGAGAGGCCGACGGUAUUCUCGGGGUAGGGGUGAAAUCCUAUAAUCCCGGGAGGACCACCAGUGGCGAAGGCUGUCGGCUAGAACGCGCUCGACGGUGAGGGACGAAAGCUGGGGGAGCGAACCGGAUUAGAUACCCGGGUAGUCCCAGCUGUAAACGAUGCGGGCUAGGUGUUGGGGUGGCUACGAGCCACUUCAGUGCCGCAGGGAAGCCAUUAA